Molecule: transfer-messenger RNA, 343 nt
Filed under: Spirochaetia bacterium
Lineage: Bacteria; Pseudomonadati; Spirochaetota; Spirochaetia
Also listed under: 1 other name
Rfam family: transfer-messenger RNA
About the family: Bacterial tmRNA, also known as 10Sa RNA or SsrA, is named for its dual tRNA and mRNA-like properties. Its role is to liberate the mRNA from a stalled ribosome.
Source: RNAcentral
GGGGAUGCCAGGCUUCGACAAAUGUUCAUUUCAAAAAACAGCAGCCGAGCCGAUUGACUCGCUAAACCGAUCAAAAAACACAUAACUGCCAACAGAAAUGUUGCUCCCGUGUUCGCUUUUGCGUAAAUGCGGCAUCCUUCGCUGAUUGCUCAUAUUAGCAAUAAGGGUGUUAUAACUUGAGCUCGUUCCGGUUUCCGCCGAAAACCGGGAGACCUUUAGGCAAAAGGACUAAAAGUUUUUCGUCCCGAUUAUAUCUUUUAGCCCUUAAAAAUAUCGGGACUAAGCUUGUAGAAGUUUUUUAGAAAAACAUUUGGACGGGGCUUCAAUGCCCCCAUCUCCACAA